This 468-nucleotide ribosomal RNA is filed under the name uncultured bacterium. RNAcentral's name for it is "partial 16S ribosomal RNA". It matches the Rfam family "Bacterial small subunit ribosomal RNA", at positions 28 to 507 of the family's 1533-position model. The record is from RNAcentral.
GACGAACGCUGGCGGCGGGCUUAACACAUGCAAGUCGAACGGAAAGGCCCUGCGUUUGUGGGGUUCUCGAGUGGCGAACGGGGGAGUAACACGUGAGUAACCUGCCCUUGACUUUGGGAUAACUUCAGGAAACUGGGGCUAAUACCGGAUAGGAGCUCCUGCUGCAUGGUGGGGGUUGGAACGUUUCGGCGGUUGGGGAUGGACGCGCGGCUUAUCAGCUAGUUGGUGGGGUAGGGGCUUACCAAGGCUGUGACGGGUAGCCGGCAUGAGAGCGUGACCGGCCACAUUGGGACUGAGAGACGGCCCAGACUCCUACGGGAGGCAGCAGUGGGGAAUAUUGCACAAUGGGCGGACGCCUGAUGCAGCAACGCCGCGUGCGGGAUGACGGCCUUCGGGUUGUAAACCGCUUUCGCCUGUGACGAAGCGUGAGUGACGGUAAUGGGUAAAGAAGCACCGGCUAACUACGUG